This 251-nucleotide ribosomal RNA is filed under the name uncultured prokaryote. RNAcentral describes it as "partial 16S rRNA". It matches the Rfam family "Bacterial small subunit ribosomal RNA", at positions 525 to 775 of the family's 1533-position model. The record is from RNAcentral.
ACGGAGGGUGCAAGCGUUGUUCGGAAUUAUUGGGCGUAAAGGGCGCGUAGGCGGCAAUGUAAGUCAGAUGUGAAAUACUCCGGCUCAGCCAGAGAACUGCAUCUGAAACUACAUAACUAGAGUACAGAAGAGGGAAACGGAAUUCCCGGUGUAGAGGUGAAAUUCGUGGAGAUCGGGAGGAACACCAGUGGCGAAGGCGGUUUCCUGGUCUGAUACUGACGCUGAGGCGCGAAAGUGUGGGGAGCAAACAG